Molecule: unclassified non-coding RNA, 229 nt
Filed under: plant metagenome
Description: partial contains small subunit ribosomal RNA and internal transcribed spacer 1
Rfam family: Eukaryotic small subunit ribosomal RNA (bases 1-46)
Source: RNAcentral
AAGUCGUAACAAGGUUUCCGUAGGUGAACCUGCGGAAGGAUCAUUAAAAGUAAUUGGUUAUACAUAUCCUGUAUCAACUGCACAAACCCAUUCCGAGUACCUUGCCUGUUGCUUCCAUGGGGCCUGACUUUGGUCACUCUUGUGAUGCGAAUCCCAAGAGAGUCCCCAUGGGGGGUAAUCAUAUCAAUCAUCAAUGCAUCUCUCUGAUGAUGAAUAACAAAUGUUAAAA